AGAUUGAACGCUGGCGGCAGGCCUAACACAUGCAAGUCGAGCGGCAGCACGGGUACUUGUACCUGGUGGCGAGCGGCGGACGGGUGAGUAAUGCCUAGGAAUCUGCCUGGUAGUGGGGGAUAACGCUCGGAAACGGACGCUAAUACCGCAUACGUCCUACGGGAGAAAGCAGGGGACCUUCGGGCCUUGCGCUAUCAGAUGAGCCUAGGUCGGAUUAGCUAGUUGGUGAGGUAAUGGCUCACCAAGGCGACGAUCCGUAACUGGUCUGAGAGGAUGAUCAGUCACACUGGAACUGAGACACGGUCCAGACUCCUACGGGAGCAGCAGUGGGGAAUAUUGGACAAUGGGCGAAAGCCUGAUCCAAGCCAUGCCGCGUGUGUGAAGAAGGUCUUCGGAUUGUAAAGCACUUUAAGUGGAGGAAGGCAGUACCUAAUACGUAUCUGUUUGACGUUACCGACAGAAUAAGCACCGGCUAAACUCUGU
This 483-nucleotide ribosomal RNA is filed under the name uncultured soil bacterium. RNAcentral's name for it is "bacterial SSU rRNA". It matches the Rfam family "Bacterial small subunit ribosomal RNA", at positions 26 to 506 of the family's 1533-position model. The record is from RNAcentral.